GACGAACGNCUGGCGGCGCUUUCUAACACACGCAAGUCGAACGAGCGAGAGAGAGCUUGCUUUCUCAAGCGAGUGGUGAACGGGUGAGUAACGCGUGAGGAACCUGCCUCAAAGAGGGGGACAACAGUUGGAAACGACUGCUAAUACCGCAUAAGCCCACAGGUCGGCAUCGACCAGAGGGAAAAGGAGCAAUCCGCUUUGAGAUGGCCUCGCGUCCGAUUAGCUAGUUGGUGAGGUAACGGCCCACCAAGGCGACGAUCGGUAGCCGGACUGAGAGGUUGAACGGCCACAUUGGGACUGAGACACGGCCCAGACUCCUACGGGAGGCAGCAGUGGGGAAUAUUGCACAAUGGGGGAAACCCUGAUGCAGCGACGCCGCGUGGAGGAAGAAGGUCUUCGGAUUGUAAACUCCUGUUGUUGAGGAAGAUAAUGACGGUACUCAACAAGGAAGUGACGGCUAACUACGUGCCAGCAGCCGCGGUAAAACGUAGGUCACAAGCGUUGUCCGGAAUUACUGGGUGUAAAGGGAGCGCAGGCGGGAAGACAAGUUGGAAGUGAAAUCUAUGGGCUCAACCCAUAAACUGCUUUCAAAACUGUUUUUCUUGAGUAGUGCAGAGGUAGGCGGAAUUCCCGGUGUAGCGGUGGAAUGCGUAGAUAUCGGGAGGAACACCAGUGGCGAAGGCGGCCUACUGGGCACCAACUGACGCUGAGGCUCGAAAGUGUGGGUAGCAAACAGG
RNAcentral lists this ribosomal RNA (737 nucleotides) under uncultured bacterium. Its description in RNAcentral is "bacterial SSU rRNA". It matches the Rfam family "Bacterial small subunit ribosomal RNA", at positions 28 to 776 of the family's 1533-position model. The record is from RNAcentral.